AGUGAACGCUGGCGGUAGGCCUAACACAUGCAAGUCGAACGGCAGCACAGUAAGAGCUUGCUCUUACGGGUGGCGAGUGGCGGACGGGUGAGGAAUACAUCGGAAUCUACUUUUUCGUGGGGGAUAACGUAGGGAAACUUACGCUAGUACCGCAUACGACCUACGGGUGAAAGCAGGGGAUCUUCGGACCUUGCGCGAUUGAAUGAGCCGAUGUCGGAUUAGCUAGUUGGCGGGGUAAAGGCCCACCAAGGCGACGAUCCGUAGCUGGUCUGAGAGGAUGAUCAGCCACACUGGAACUGAGACACGGUCCAGACUCCUACGGGAGGCAGCAGUGGGGAAUAUUGGACAAUGGGCGAAAGCCUGAUCCAGCCAUACCGCGUGGGUGAAGAAGGCCUUCGGGUUGUAAAGCCCUUUUGUUGGGAAAGAAAAGCAGCAGGUUAAUACCCCGCUGUUCUGACGGUACCCAAAGAAUAAGCACCGGCUAACUUCGUG
This 492-nucleotide ribosomal RNA is filed under the name uncultured bacterium. Its description in RNAcentral is "partial 16S ribosomal RNA". It matches the Rfam family "Bacterial small subunit ribosomal RNA", at positions 29 to 507 of the family's 1533-position model. The record is from RNAcentral.